AACAGAGGGUUUGAUCCUGGCUCAGAUUGAACGCUGGCGGGAUGCUUUACACAUGCAAGUCGAACGGCAGCACGGACUUCGGUCUGGUGGCGAGUGGCGAACGGGUGAGUAAUGUAUCGGAACGUGCCUAGUAGCCGGGGGAUAACUACGCGAAAGCGUAGCUAAUACCGCAUACGCCCUUCUCCAGGAAAGCGGGGGACCUUCGGGCCUCGCACUAUUAGAGCGGCCGAUAUCGGAUUAGCUAGUUGGUGGGGUAACGGCUCGCAAGGCGACGAUCCGUAGCUGGUUUGAGAGGACGACCAGCCACACUGGGACUGAGACACGGCCCAGACUCCUACGGGAGGCAGCAGUGGGGAAUUUUGGACAAUGGGGGAAACCUGAUCCAGCCAUCCCGCGUGUGCGAUAGAAAGAGGCCUUCCGGGUUGUAAAGCACUUUUGGCAGGAAAGAAACGGCACGGGAUAAUACCCCGUGCAACUGACAGUACCUGCAGAAUAAGCACCGGCUAACUACGUGCCAGCAGCCGCGGUAAUACGUAGGGUGCAAGCGUUAAUCGGAAUUACUGGGCGUAAAGCGUGCGCAGGCGGUUCGGAAAGAAAGAUGUGAAAUCCCAGAGCUUAACUUUGGAACUGCAUUUUAACUACCGAGCUAGAGUGUGUCCAGAGGGAGGUGGAAUUCCGCGUGUAGCAGUGAAAUGCGUAGAUAUGCGGAGGAACACCGAUGGCGAGGGCAGCCUCCUGGGAUAACACUGACGCUCAUGCACGAAAGCGUGGGAGCAAACAGGAUUAGAUACCCUGGUAGUCCACGCCUAAACGAUGUCAACUAGCUGUUGGGGCCUUCGGAGCUUGGUAGCGCAGCUAACGCGUGAAGUUGACCGCCUGGGAGUACGGUCGCAAGAUUAAAACUCAAAGGAAUUGACGGGGACCCGCACAAGCGGUGGAUGAUGUGGAUUAAUUCGAUGCAACGCGAAAAACCUUUACCUACCCUUGACAUGUCUGGAAUCCCGAAGAGAUUUGGGAGUGCUCGCAAGAGAACCGGAACACAGGUGCUGCAUGGCUGUCGUCAGCUCGUGUCGUGAGAUGUUGGGUUAAGUCCCGCAACGAGCGCAACCCUUGUCAUUAGUUGCUACGAAGGGCACUCUAAUGAGACUGCCGGUGACAAACCGGAGGAAGGUGGGGAUGACGUCAAGUCCUCAUGGCCCUUAUGGGUAGGGCUUCACACGUCAUACAAUGGUCGGGACGGAGAUUAGCCAACCCGCGAGGGGGAGCCAAUCCCAGAAACCCGAUCGUAGUCCGGAUCGCAGUCUGCAACUCGACUGCGUGAAGUCGGAAUCGCUAGUAAUCGCGGAUCAGCAUGUCGCGGUGAAUACGUUCCAGGUCUUGUACACACCGCCCGUCACACCAUGGGAGUGGGUUUGCAAGUAGUUAGCCUAACCGUGGGAGGCGAUUACCACGGUAGGAUUCAUGACUGGGGUGAAGUCGUAACAAGGUAG
RNAcentral lists this ribosomal RNA (1490 nucleotides) under uncultured Bordetella sp. Its description in RNAcentral is "partial 16S-23S ribosomal RNA intergenic spacer". It matches the Rfam family "Bacterial small subunit ribosomal RNA". The record is from RNAcentral. Lineage: Bacteria; Pseudomonadati; Pseudomonadota; Betaproteobacteria; Burkholderiales; Alcaligenaceae.